This 261-nucleotide long non-coding RNA is filed under the name Ananas comosus (pineapple). RNAcentral describes it as "long non-coding RNA (ACOM_LNC039039)". The record is from RNAcentral. Lineage: Eukaryota; Viridiplantae; Streptophyta; Magnoliopsida; Poales; Bromeliaceae.
AGGUUAGCAAUUGUUACAAAGAAUAUAUAUAUACAUAUAGAAUCUGGCUACUAUACUCUUAUGAGUACGAUCACUCUCAUACUCAUAAGUCGUUUUCGAUGAUAGAACUUCCGAAUCGACAAUCUAUACCAUUAAACAUUAUUUAGAACAUUUAAAACUUCUAGAAAUCAAAUUUCAUAAUUUUUCGAUAUCAUUUACCUUACAAUCAAAAGCUCACAAAAUUGACAAUUUUUAACGGCCGGUAGGGAUACUUGCUAGUUU